RNAcentral lists this ribosomal RNA (469 nucleotides) under uncultured Planctomycetota bacterium. RNAcentral's name for it is "bacterial SSU rRNA". It matches the Rfam family "Bacterial small subunit ribosomal RNA", at positions 157 to 638 of the family's 1533-position model. Lineage: Bacteria; Pseudomonadati; Planctomycetota. The record is from RNAcentral.
CUCGGGCUAAUACCGAAUGUGCCCUCCGGCCAUAAGGCCGCUGGGGAAAGGAAGCUUCGGCCUCCGCAUCGGGAUGGGCCCGCGGCCCAUUAGCUGGUUGGCGGGGUAACGGCCCACCAAGGCGACGACGCGUAGCUGGUCUGAGAGGACGGCCAGCCACAUCGGGACUGAGACACUGCCCGGACUCCUACGGGGGGCUGCAGUAACGAAUCUUCCGCAAUGCACGAAAGUGUGACGGAGCGACGCCGCGUGUGGGACGAAGUCCUUCGGGAUGUAAACCACUGUCAGGGGUUACCAAGUUCUGAGGAGCCCCAGAGGAAGGCACGGCUAACUCUGUGCCAGCAGCCGCGGUAAGACAGAGGUGCCGAGCGUUAGGCGGAAUCACUGGGCUUAAAGCGUGUGUAGGCGGGUCGUUAAGUGUCUUGUGAAAUCCCACCGCUCAACGGUGGAACUGCUGGGCAUACUGGCG